This 403-nucleotide ribosomal RNA is filed under the name Verrucomicrobiota bacterium. RNAcentral describes it as "Verrucomicrobia bacterium partial 16S ribosomal RNA". It matches the Rfam family "Bacterial small subunit ribosomal RNA", at positions 355 to 776 of the family's 1533-position model. The record is from RNAcentral. Lineage: Bacteria; Pseudomonadati; Verrucomicrobiota.
UGGGGAAUAUUGCACAAUGGGCGCAAGCCUGAUGCAGCAACGCCGCGUGAACGAUGAAGGUCUUCGGAUCGUAAAGUUCUGUUGCAGGGGAAGAUAAUGACGGUACCCUGUGAGGAAGCCCCGGCUAACUACGUGCCAGCAGCCGCGGUAAUACGUAGGGGGCUAGCGUUAUCCGGAUUUACUGGGCGUAAAGGGUGCGGAGGUGGUCUUUCAAGUCGGUGGUUAAAGGCUACGGCUCAACCGUAGUUAGCCUCCGAAACUGGAAGACUUGAGUGCAGGAGAGGAAAGUGGAAUUCCCAGUGUAGCGGUGAAAUGCGUAGAUAUUGGGAGGAACACCAGUAGCGAAGGCGGCUUUCUGGACUGCAACUGACACUGAGGCACGAAAGCGUGGGUAGCAAACAGG